CCGGGCAAUUGCUAACCCGAAACAUCCGGGUUGGAGGAAAGUCCGAACUUCAUAGAACAGGGUGCCGGGUAACGCCCGGGGGUUAUGGGCGAAAGCUCAUGGCUACUGCCAGUGCCGCAGAAAAUAUACCGCCCCGGUAAUACGGGGUAAGGGUGAAAAGGCGGGGUAAAAGCCCACCGCUGCGGUGGUAACACCGGAGGCACGGUAAACCACACCCGAAGCAAGAUCAAAUAGGGAGAUCGUUUUCCCGGUAAUUCCGGGAGACGGGGUUGUUCGCUCCGAUGGUCUCCGGGUAGAUCGCUUAAUCCCGCUGGUAACAGCAGGAUGAGAUAAAUGAUUGCCCCUACUACGUUAAAACUUCGUAGAGCAGGAUCCUCAAAUAAGAACCUAUUCUACGAAGCUUAACUUCAAUUAAGCGUAGGAGGACAGAAUUCGGCUUACAGGGC
RNAcentral lists this RNase P RNA (446 nucleotides) under marine eukaryotic metagenome. Its description in RNAcentral is "Bacterial RNase P class A". It matches the Rfam family "Bacterial RNase P class A". From Rfam's summary of the family: Ribonuclease P (RNase P) is a ubiquitous endoribonuclease, found in archaea, bacteria and eukarya as well as chloroplasts and mitochondria. Its best characterised activity is the generation of mature 5'-ends of tRNAs by cleaving the 5'-leader elements of precursor-tRNAs. The record is from RNAcentral.